UCAUAUUUUGGUGUUCUAAUGAACUUAGUUUUGGCAUGUAAAUAUUAGCAUUGAAAUGGUUGAUGAUUUGCUUAAUAUGUUUGAACGGUGAAAUGGUAGUUGAAUGUGCAUAUUGUAUAUGUUUAUAACUUGAUGUGAAUUGGUACUUUGCUAUGGAAGACAUAUAUGUAUAUUACGCCUAGUAAUUGAGUAGUAUAUUUGGUAUCAUUUGGUAAGUUAAUUCAAUGGCUUCUAUUGAGGCAAAUCUAGUUGGAAAUUAG
RNAcentral lists this long non-coding RNA (260 nucleotides) under Gossypium barbadense (sea-island cotton). RNAcentral describes it as "long non-coding RNA (GBAR_LNC013496)". Lineage: Eukaryota; Viridiplantae; Streptophyta; Magnoliopsida; Malvales; Malvaceae. The record is from RNAcentral.